CGUCACACCAUGGGAGUUUGUUGCACCAGAAGUAGCUAGCCUAACUGCAAAGAGGGCGGUUACCACGGUGUGGCCGAUGACUGGGGUGAAGUCGUAACAAGGUAGCCGUAGGGGAACCUGCGGCUGGAUCACCUCCUUA
RNAcentral lists this ribosomal RNA (139 nucleotides) under Acinetobacter baumannii. RNAcentral's name for it is "partial 16S ribosomal RNA". It matches the Rfam family "Bacterial small subunit ribosomal RNA", at positions 1395 to 1533 of the family's 1533-position model. The record is from RNAcentral. Lineage: Bacteria; Pseudomonadati; Pseudomonadota; Gammaproteobacteria; Moraxellales; Moraxellaceae. RNAcentral also lists the same sequence under 1 other name.